RNAcentral lists this ribosomal RNA (233 nucleotides) under Klebsiella pneumoniae. RNAcentral's name for it is "partial 16S ribosomal RNA". It matches the Rfam family "Bacterial small subunit ribosomal RNA", at positions 47 to 278 of the family's 1533-position model. Lineage: Bacteria; Pseudomonadati; Pseudomonadota; Gammaproteobacteria; Enterobacterales; Enterobacteriaceae. The record is from RNAcentral.
CCUAACACAUGCAAGUCGAGCGGUAGCACAGAGAGCUUGCUCUCGGGUGACGAGCGGCGGACGGGUGAGUAAUGUCUGGGAAACUGCCUGAUGGAGGGGGAUAACUACUGGAAACGGUAGCUAAUACCGCAUAAUGUCGCAAGACCAAAGUGGGGGACCUUCGGGCCUCAUGCCAUCAGAUGUGCCCAGAUGGGAUUAGCUAGUAGGUGGGGUAACGGCUCACCUAGGCGACG